RNAcentral lists this ribosomal RNA (852 nucleotides) under Triticum aestivum (bread wheat). Its description in RNAcentral is "partial small subunit ribosomal RNA". The record is from RNAcentral. Lineage: Eukaryota; Viridiplantae; Streptophyta; Magnoliopsida; Poales; Poaceae.
AUGGCCGAAUGCUUCAAUAGGGUGCUCAAAGGUGCACGUGGAUUACCCGUGACAGCAAUAGUUCAAUACACAUUUGACAAGAUGAAUGCGUACUUUCUAAAGUACUUGAUGGAAACGGAUGCACAGAUAUCGGGCAAGAACCCACUUAAGUACAAGUACAAGUUCCCACCCAAGGUUGAUGAAUGGUUACAAUUUCAAUCACGGAAGGCGGACUCAGAAGAAGCUAUAUUAUAUGACAACGAAGAGUGGAAGUACAAAGUGAAAGAGCUAGGAGGAACCACAAACGAUGGCCGCCAACAUGGAGGUCGGGCUUUCAAGGUGUCGUUAACACAAUGUGAUUGCUCUUGCAGAAGGCCAUUGUUGCUUCAUCUCCCAUGCUCACACUUGUAUACGGCCGGUCGCAUUAGGAAUGUGGACAUCAAUCACCCACGCACCAUGAGGGAGUCGGAGUUCUCAAUCAUGAUGGUCAAGAAAACAUGGGCUCCCCGCUUUCACCCAUAUUUUGACCAAUCACAAUAGCCGGAGUACCAUGGUGUUAAACUAUAGCCGGAUCCGGAGUUGAAGGUUGUUAAAUGGGGUAGACGUAAGACAAAGCGUCUUAGAGGCGACAUGGACGGAUGGGGCCAUGGUGGCUACCGCGAAGCGGGCAACGACCAAUUCCAAGAGCGUCGUGAGAGCUCCCGUUGUGGGGAGUACAAAGGUCAUGGCCACAACAAAAUAAAAUGUACGAAACCAAGGAAAAGGUCCAACAAGGAGCUACAGAAGGAAGCCAACCAAGUGGUAGCCAACAAGUGCCAAGCCAACCAAGUGUUAGCCAAAGAGGAUCUAGGCAACAAAGAGGUCGACAACUAG